RNAcentral lists this transfer RNA (72 nucleotides) under Camelus bactrianus (Bactrian camel). It matches the Rfam family "tRNA". Rfam says of the family: Transfer RNA (tRNA) molecules are approximately 80 nucleotides in length. Lineage: Eukaryota; Metazoa; Chordata; Mammalia; Artiodactyla; Camelidae. The record is from Rfam by way of RNAcentral. RNAcentral also lists the same sequence under 2 other names.
GAGAGCGUAGCUCAGUGGUAGAGUACGUGCCUAGCGUGCACAAGGACCUGGGUUCAAUCCCCAGCACCUCCA